CGCGUAGGCGGUUUCUUAAGUCAGAUGUGAAAGCCCGGGGCUCAACCCCGGAAGUGCAUUUGAAACUAAGUGACUUGAGUAUGGGAGAGGGAAGUGGAAUUCCUGGUGUAGAGGUGAAAUUCGUAGAUAUCAGGAGGAACACCGGUGGCGAAGGCGACUUCCUGGACCAAUACUGACGCUAAGGCGCGAAGGCGUGGGGAGCAAACA
RNAcentral lists this ribosomal RNA (207 nucleotides) under uncultured bacterium. RNAcentral's name for it is "partial 16S ribosomal RNA". It matches the Rfam family "Bacterial small subunit ribosomal RNA", at positions 568 to 774 of the family's 1533-position model. The record is from RNAcentral.